RNAcentral lists this ribosomal RNA (357 nucleotides) under uncultured Methanosarcinales archaeon. RNAcentral describes it as "partial 16S ribosomal RNA". It matches the Rfam family "Archaeal small subunit ribosomal RNA", at positions 683 to 1039 of the family's 1478-position model. The record is from RNAcentral. Lineage: Archaea; Methanobacteriati; Methanobacteriota; Methanomicrobia; Methanosarcinales.
GAACGGGUUCGACGGUGAGGGACGAAAGCUGGGGGCACGAACCGGAUUAGAUACCCGGGUAGUCCCAGCCGUAAACKAUGCUCGCUAGGUGUCAGGCAUGGCGCGACCGUGUCUGGUGCCGCAGGGAAGCCGUGAAGCGAGCCACCUGGGAAGUACGGCCGCAAGGCUGAAACUUAAAGGAAUUGGCGGGGGAGCACMACAACGGGUGGAGCCUGCGGUUUAAUUGGAYUCAACGCCGGACAWCUCACCGGGRACGACAGCAAWAUGWWGGCCAGGYUGAAGACCUUGCYUGAMWMGCUGAGAGGAGGUGCAUGGCCGYCGYCAGUUCGUACUGUGAAGCAUCCUGUUAAGUCAGGC